This 172-nucleotide ribosomal RNA is filed under the name uncultured bacterium. RNAcentral describes it as "partial 16S ribosomal RNA". It matches the Rfam family "Bacterial small subunit ribosomal RNA", at positions 335 to 524 of the family's 1533-position model. The record is from RNAcentral.
ACUCCUACGGGAGGCAGCAGUGGGGAAUCUUCCACAAUGGGCGAAAGCCUAAUGGAGCGACGCCGCGUGAACGAUGAAGGUCUUCGGAUCGUAAAGUUCCGUCGCAGGGGAAGAUAAUGACGGUACCCUGUGAGGAAGCACCGGCUAACUACGUACCAGCAGCCGCGGUAAU